Molecule: small nuclear RNA, 160 nt
Organism: Ochotona princeps (American pika)
Lineage: Eukaryota; Metazoa; Chordata; Mammalia; Lagomorpha; Ochotonidae
Gene: U1
Rfam family: U1 spliceosomal RNA
About the family: U1 is a small nuclear RNA (snRNA) component of the spliceosome (involved in pre-mRNA splicing). Its 5' end forms complementary base pairs with the 5' splice junction, thus defining the 5' donor site of an intron.
Source: Ensembl
AUACUUACUGGCAGGGGAGAUGCCAUGAUCAUGCAGGUGGUUUUCCCAGGGCGAGGCUCAUCCAUUCACUUGAGAUGUGCUGACCCCUGCGAUUGCCCCAAAUAUGGGAAACUCAACUGCAUAAUUUUUGAUAGUGGGGGACUGGGUUCACACUCUCAAA